This 42-nucleotide ribosomal RNA is filed under the name Pratylenchus bhattii. RNAcentral's name for it is "partial 18S ribosomal RNA". The record is from RNAcentral. Lineage: Eukaryota; Metazoa; Nematoda; Chromadorea; Rhabditida; Pratylenchidae.
CGUCACAAGGUAGCUGUAGGUGAACGUGCUGGUGGAUCAUUA